UUGGCGCGUGAACUGAAGCCCGGAGCGCGCGAGAGCUCAUUGUUGCGUUCGCUUGAGCCACGACAACUAGUGUUUGUUUAAUCGUUUGAUUGAUCCUUUGUCGAUCUCAAGCAACGUGAAUCAUAUCAGUUUGUUGGAUACGCCAUUAGAAAUGAGCUACGGUAGGCCUCCGCCCGACGUUGAGGGCAUGACUUCGUUAAAGGUGGAUAAUUUAACGUAUCGCACGUCGCCGGAGACGCUGCGGCGAGUCUUUGAAAAGUACGGCCGAGUCGGGGACGUUUAUAUUCCGCGAGACCGAUACACAAAAGAGAGCAGAGGCUUCGCCUUCGUGCGCUUUCACGACAAGAGGGAUGCCGAAGAUGCGAUGGACGCAAUGGAUGGAGCGGUUCUGGAAGGACGAGAGCUCCGGGUUCAGAUGGCCCGCUACGACAGGCCGCCGGACUCGUACUACGGCGGACGCCGGGGCGGGGGACCCGGUAGAAGACAUGGACACGGACACGGACACGGCCGCCGCAGCCGAAGUCCGAGACGUCGGAGACGCAGCCGGUCCAGAAGCAGGAGCCGCUCUCGUUCACGGAGCCGCUCCCGUUACAGCAGAUCGAGGUCACGCUCCUACUCUCGCUCCAAGUCUCACUCCAAGUCAAACACGCCCCGUAAGAGGAAGUCUAAGUCGCCCUCCAGGUCUAGGUCCCGUUCAAGAUCCAAGUCCAGGUCUCGUUCCAGAAGCCGCACGCCUGCUUCAAACAGAGAGUCGAAGUCCAGGUCAAGGUCUAAAAGCCAUCCGAAGUCUCCAGGAGAGGAAAGACCCACAUCACCCUAAACUUUUCAGAAGAGCGUGCCUAAAAAUGAAAAACAUUCAGGUGGAAACAUAGCUGAUGGUGGCGGAGGACGAAUCCCAGCUGCCUCUGCGUCUGAGACCGCCAACCCGCACAUCUUAUCACGUGGCGUGUUGAGUGCGUUGCCAUUGAGACAUAGCACGUGUGGAGGCUUCACGCCAUCCACCGCAGCAUCCACGCUCAACUCACCACGCGCCGCAUCGUGAACGAACCACAUGGCGACCACGAGGAGGUUACCCCAUGUGACUCUAUCCUCCCUAGCAACCGGGCCAAUUUGGUUGCUUAGGAGACCCUGCCGGAGUCACUCAGCACGCCCUGGGAUUCGAACUAGUGAACUCCAGGGGUGGUAGCCAGCAUCUUUACCACUGAGCUUUUUUUUGUACAUUGUACAUGUACAUUGCAGUGAAGCCAUUUAAACUGUAAAAAACUAGUCAAUAAUACUUUUAUAUCUCCUUAACAUCAUUUUGCAAUUUCUGAUUAAAAUGCACAUUCUGAAUCUGUACCAUACGGCAACGUUUUGCAUAACUACGAUAUAGACCAGGGGUCGGCAACCUUUUUGACGUGGAGUGCCAUUUUAUUAUCUUUUGAUCAAUGGCUGUGCACCCCCCCCCCCCCCCCCCCACCCAAUGCACCUGCAUUCCAGUCUACAUCUUGAUGUAAUCCUUCCUCAUGAUCACGCAGCGUGUUUUCAUCUGCUGAAUGGGAGACUAAACACUAUUAAAGUGUGAUGAGACUCGCGCUGCGCAUGCAAGCCAUUUGCGCAUCACAAGCCGAUCAACUAUUCAGCCCUUUUCGUUGAAUCGCAUCUGCAAAAUCUUUAUUUAAACCAGGUUUAAUUUAUAAUUUGAAUAAUGUAUAUUUCACCAUGUGUGUUUUUGAAUCCCACGAUGUGGGUUUAUGUUUUCUCUUUUAAUCGUUUAAUGUAAUUUUGAGUGUGACUAUGGUUUAAGGAGGGUGUACCUGUAUGCUGGGUUGGAAAUCUCAAGGAUUAAUAGUGGUUUACAUCACGUGUUGUUCUGAAAGCAAAAAGAAACAAAUGAAACACGGAAUGUAGGCUGUCAUCCGCGCAGACUGACCGGAGCAAAGUGGCCGCAUUUACUCGUGCGAUUAACCAAAAGUGAAGCGCUGCCGGCUCGUGAUAUGCAAAUGGUUUGAACGAGUCUGUUGGUUAUACUGCAGUCACGUCACAUUUUAUCUUUUUGUUUAGCCUCCCCUUCAGCUCAUGAAAACACACUGCGUGAUCAUGAGGAUUACAUCAAGAUGUAGAUUGGAAUGCAGGUGCGGAAAUUAAAUAAAAUAUUCUGCUCCUCUCUCACUGUUGCUGGUAACCAGUGAUUACCCCUCCGCGUGCCAGUGCUGGCACACGUGCCAUAGGUUGCCGUCCCCUGCUAUAGACAAUACUCAAAUUUGUACCAUGACACUUUUUUUUUUUUUUUAAAUACUGGUUUUUCAUUUUAACCAGUAUAUUGCACAUACCGAACUACUGCAACUACAGCACUCAAGGUGUGAGAUACUGAAAGUGCAGUGAGAUGUGGCAUGAUGGCCAAAAAUGUCCAAACUGGAAAAAAAAUUUAAGUGUAAUUAAAAUGUGUGUUGUUCAACUUUUUGAAAGAUUGUUUUACAAUAGUUGUCAGCAUCUCUCUGGCAAAGAACCUACUUCAUCUGUGCAUUCUCUACAGGUCGGGUAUUUUGUUGUCCGGGAAAAUACAUUGUGUGUGAAUAAAUUUGUUUUCGUUUUUUUCCCCUCCUUCACAACAUAUAUAUAUCCAAUAUCCAAUUGCAUCGGCAACCCCCGGGCUGAGGGAUCAGUGAAUAUUCUUGCUUUAGUGAUUUUGCAUUGAAAAUUAAAUUAAUUUAUUUAAAAAAUGAAAAACUUAAAUACAUUUCUAAAUUCAAAUUGCACUCCAAAUGAAACAAAAAGCAAUUAAAAUAAUGAAAUGAUAAAAUAUAUAUAAGUAACCACCUUUUCAUUUACCGUCAGGCAAGUAUCCGUCUAAACGUGUAGGCCGAAAAUUACUUGCACAAAUGAAGACAUAAAAACAAUUAUAAAUGUAAAAAUAAUAGUUAAAAUUAUGAUAAUCACUGAAAUAUAAAUCAUGGUUCGAGGUGAGCAUGUUUUUGUAUUAUGUUUUAAUCACAGAUGUAUAGUCUGCAGAGUUAUCACAAUGAACAGCUCUGUGGAAAUAAAGCGAAUUGAACUCAAAGCACCUCUGAGCUGAGAUGUCUGAGGUCAUUUGCAACAUUCAAAGAUGAUACUGUUCUUGCAAAAAAAAAAAAAAAAUUCUUAAGACAGAAACAAACAAAGAGUGAGAACCUUUCACACGCACGUGUUCCACGAGACUGCAUGCCUCCGUACAAACAGCAUGUCAUACAUGCGCAUAGACGGCUUUUCUGUCAUCUGUUUUUAAUAAAGUGUGUUGCUUCAAGCGCAUGUCUACGGGCAAAUUAUUUGUAAUAUUGAUUUGAUAAUAAUAAUAGCCUAAUAAUUAUAAUUUAAUACAUUAAUGGGACGCGAGCCAAAUAGGCUAUCUUGACAUGGUCAAAGGCAUCAGCUAUUGGUGAUCACUCUGACCAUCGUCGAUCCCCGAGAUCAUCGUCUGUCGGCACAACCCUAAUGUGCAUUUCUCUCUAUAAAUGAACAAAAUGUUCAGACAGUCUUCGUGCUGGUUUUUCCAACACAUUCAGAAUCAUUACCACUUUUGCCGGUGUCGCUGCAGCUGACUUCAUGCAUGCGCUUGUAAAAUUGAUAUUUUAAAGGCUUAUUAUUACGGUUUAGUAUUUCUCUGUAAUUUAGUGUUAACAAUGUUACUUACAACAUUCUCAGCCCUGGAACUCAAACCAUUUUCUGAUGCCCCCCCAAAAUAUAUAUAUAUAUAUAUAUGUAAGUAAUUCAAUUAAUAUCAUAAACGUGCGACAACUAAUGGCUUAAACUAACGACUACUAGUCGACUAGGAAAAUCUUCAGUAGGGGGCAGCCCUAUUAUUUUAAUCCUCAGAAACCGUGUGCUCUGUGUAAAUCCAUUUUCCCACCUUUCAUUUCCAUAUUUUUUCAUGUUUUCAUCCCAUGUUUGACUGCUGUUUUGUGUUCUCCCAGGUCUACCUUAUCAUUGGACGAUACCAAACGUGCGACCUUGGUUGGAGCAUGAAGAACCUUGGAUUGAAAAU
Myxocyprinus asiaticus (Chinese sucker) is the source of this 4000-nucleotide RNA transcript. It is a transcript of the gene named serine/arginine-rich splicing factor 2-like, with no coding region annotated. The record is from RefSeq and is a predicted model, not a curated record. The transcript is spliced from 4 exons. Lineage: Eukaryota; Metazoa; Chordata; Actinopteri; Cypriniformes; Catostomidae.